GAUGAACGCUGGCGGCGUGCCUAAUACAUGCAAGUCGAGCGAACAGACGAGGAGCUUGCUCCUCUGACGUUAGCGGCGGACGGGUGAGUAACACGUGGAUAACCUACCUAUAAGACUGGGAUAACUUCGGGAAACCGGAGCUAAUACCGGAUAAUAUAUUGAACCGCAUGGUUCAAUAGUGAAAGACGGUUUUGCUGUCACUUAUAGAUGGAUCCGCGCCGCAUUAGCUAGUUGGUAAGGUAACGGCUUCCCAAGGCAACGAUGCGUAGCCGACCUGAGAGGGGGUCCGGCCACGCUGAAACGGGGACAGGGUCAAGACCCCAACGGGGGGCAGCAGUGGGGAAUCUUCCGCAAUGGGCGAAGGCCUGACGGGGAAACGCCGCGUGAGUGAGGAGGGUCUUCGGAUCGUAAACCUCUGUUAUUAGGGAAGAACAAAUGUGUAAGUAACUAUGCACGUCUUGACGGUACCUAAUCAGAAAGCCACGGCUAACUCCGU
Molecule: ribosomal RNA, 496 nt
Filed under: uncultured bacterium
Lineage: Bacteria
Description: partial 16S ribosomal RNA
Rfam family: Bacterial small subunit ribosomal RNA
Source: RNAcentral